GGCUUGACUAUGCUGAGGUUGAGGUUCAAGUGAUGGGCCCUCUAGAAUUUCAACUAAAUAUUAAGGCGUGUAAAACAUGUGGAUGGAAAUUAAGGAAGUUAAAUUGAUUUAAACCUUUUUUGUUGGAUUACUUAUGGCUAAGCUGAUGGAUAUUGCAACUCUGAUUUCUUUACAAUCAUGUUGGAUUAUUUGAUGGCUAGGCUCAUGGAUAUUGCAACUCUGAUUCCGUCAAUCACAGAUUAAUGUUUUGGAUUUUUUUUUGUAACAUUUGUGAAGCUCUGUAAUCUCGCUGUAAAAUGCUCUUUAUGCAUUUCUACAAUUCAAAUCAUCCAACAUGAUUGACGCAAUGUAUUCUAUACAGCAAAUCAUUAAUCGGAUACUAAACAGAAGGGUAAAACUGUAAUCAAAAGGGAUAGUAGUUGGUUUUGAAUGGUUUUAAACACUUUCAAUGUAUUCUAUGGAGAUUGGAUUUUUUUUUUUUUUUAAAAUGACACCCUUCUGUUCAGUAUCCGAUUAACAGUAUGCAUUCUAGUAUUUCUAGCCAAGUUCAUAGAUUGUACGUGACUACAUAGGGAAGGCUCUUCUGCAUAGUAGGAGAUCCUACUCUUUAGAGCAAACUCGAGAAGGGGCCGAGCUUUGGGCCAUUUUUUUGGACUAUUGACAGUGUACACACAGUCCUUGAGAUUUGAGAACAUCAUCUUGGAAUGAUAUUUCCUCUUGGCUCGAGAAUGUUUGCAACGUCAGUUGUACGUCAGAUACAGCUUUUGGGGGUCUCCGCGCCUUUUGGAGCUUCCACGUCUUUCAAAUGCCACUAUUACAAAGCUACAACAAAUGCUACCUACCAGAAAUUCUGGUGCAUAGAAGAUCAGAGAGAGUCUAACCACUUAUCAUUGUUACCAAUCCUAUAUCGCAAAGAAUUUGACCAAAGUGGCUCCAUGAGACUAAUUGAUAAGAUCAUAACAAGAGUCAUGGCAUUGUGUGUCGUCCAUUACAGUUAUUUAGUUAUUUUUUUGUGUAUUUAAGUAACUAUUGUUUUAUUGAAUGGAGAUGAAAAGAAAAUUGCAGUAAACUUGUGUUCUUGUUAUCGGUCUUUGGAAUACAUUACUAAAACCAUUUCCAUUCAUACUCCAUAAUUUACUCUAAAACUAAAAUGGAAAAUGGAAUAUAAACAAAAAAUAAAAGAUAACUCUAUAAAUAGAGUGAUUUUUUUUCCACUCUAUUUUUGGUGUAAAUUAUGGAAUGAAGAUUGAAAUACCCUAAUGCAUAAGAAACAUAGUUAACUCCACUAUGCUGCUCUUAGGAACCACAUCACUAAAGGUUAUCACCUCAUCGUGGUUUCCUCGUUUGAAGUUAUAUUGUUGUUUCAUACUAACUAGAGUUUGACAUCUCUUUAUAUAUUAUUAUUUUUGUCUAAUUUUUCAAUGUGAAACUUAGUUUGACAUCUCACAUUUUUUGCCUGCUGAGUUCUGUUUUUUUUCUUCUUUUAUGUUCCUAUUGUUAAGGUUUUUGAAUGUUGGUUCAACUUUUGGUACAGUUGCCUGAUUUAGGUUUAAUGAUUUUUUUUAACACUAAAGAACCUUUUUCAUUCAUCUUUUAAAUAUGAACCCCAAUACAAUCCAAAUCAGAGGGAAUUUUCCCCAAUCAAAUUCGAACCAAAAAGGGGCAGAGCUUGUGGAAACCUUAAACAAAAAAGGAUGACAGCCAUAAAAGAUAACCACAAGCAACAUAUGAUUGGGGCAAAUUCUCAAAGACCACACUCUUAGCAAUCAAGUAAGCAGGUAAAUUUUCCUUACGAGUGUUCAACUCCAACUUCCAAAAACCCACCGAAUUUUGUGACCCGUUGAUCUUCUGGGAGAUCCAUUUGAAUGAGGGCCAAGCAGGAGGCCACAAGACUGCACCCAACAGGUCCGCAGCUUCCACCAUGAAUACAAUUAUGUUCUUCCUUAAGCUACACAUGCUUUCAAUUGCCCAUAACCAACCAACAGCGUUAGCAUCAUCUGCAGAAAGCACAUUAGCAAAGGAAGAUCGACUAUGCAACAGCACCACUCCAUUUCAUUCCCUUAGGACCCAAGCAACACCAGCUAUAAAUGAGUGUCUGCACCAAAAAAUUCCAACAUCACACUUAAGCCAGUUCUCCAAAGGCGGCUCCCAAGGGGGCUUUGCAUUCAUCGUGGGAGCAAGACUAGACUCCUCGCAUGGAGCUACAUCGGCCUGAGCCUGAGACCAUUCUCUCCAGUCCUCAAGCGCUUUGUUCACAAUCUCAAUGGCUUCAUAGAUCUUUCCUUCGAAAAUAAAGUCAUUCCUAUUUUUCCAUAGCCUCCAAAUCAACCAAGGAAAUGCUUUAUACAACUCAUCCUCUCCCCUCUUGCUUUCUCCAAUCGUCAGGAGAUGAUUGAUGUUGUGGAAGAUAGAUUCCGGGUGAAAGCCACCACGCUGGAGAGGAAAAUUUGCUUCUGCCCAGACUCGUCUAGCCAAAGGACAAGAGAAGAAGAUAUGGUUUGCUGUCUCCGGUUCAUGUCCACAUAAUUGGCACCUCUCAUCAACUUUCAUACCUCUUCUAGCUAUGCCUUCUGCCACCGGUAAGGCAUUUGAUAGACACUCCCAUAGGAAAACUCUCAGUUUCGAGGGGAUUUUGAGAAACCAACACUUCUCCUUAAGAGGGUUCAAAGAAGGAAGGGUUUCUGCUUCUAUUCUAAUCUUCGAUUUGAGAGUAGACGAUCCAAGCCAGUACCCUGAUUUCGUUGAGUAGGCACCUGACUUAUUGAACUUCCAGACCUUGAAGUCCUCUGAUUUUUGCGCAAUCUUCAUUUUUAAUAUCAGAGCGACAUCGUCAGGGUAGAACAUGUCAUCUAGUAUCAUCUUAUCCCACUCUCCAGUCUGUUGAUUCAACAAAGACGACACCCUCAAAUCAAUAUCAAUCACUUGAUUCUUCAUUAGCAGAGCUCUAAAUCGAUUCCCAUCAUCUAUCCACGUUGAAGCCCAGACCAAGGUUUUCCGGCCAUCUCCAAUCAUCUUCUUGAGACCCUUAUCCAGAAGCUCCUUACCAUAGAGUAUGCUUCUCCACCCAAAGGAUGGCAUUUUCCCUAUUUUAGCAUCUUCAAAUUCUGAGUCAUUGUAGUAUCUGCUUCUCAGAAAUCUUGCAAGGAGACAGUCAGGGUCGUUCGUGAGCCUCCAGGCCUGUUUGGCCAAUAGUGCCUGAUUGAAAAGAUGAAUGUCCUUGAAACCUAUUCCCCCCAACCGCUUUGGCAAGCACAUCUGCUCCCAACUCACCCAAUGUAUCUUCUUUUUCUCCUCCACCGAGCUCCACCAAAAAGAAGACAUUGCACUGAUCAGGUUAUCACAAGUAGUCUUGGGCAAUUUGAAACAGCUCAUUGCAUAAACCGGCAUACCCAUCGCCGCCGACUUAAGUAGAACCUCUUUGCCACCCUGAGACAGAGUCCUCGAAAACCAGCUUGAAAAUCUCACUUUUAUUUUCUCCUUGACAAAGUUCAACAUGUCCACUUUGGAGCCACUGAAGCACUCAGGUAAGCUAAGGUAGGAGCUGGUGCCUCUGACGUUUGUGAUGCCCAAUCUAGAAUGGAUUUGUUUCUUUAAGUCCUCGUCCACAUUUUCUCUAAAGGUGAUUGAAGAUUUAUCCAAGUUAACCAUCUGACCCGUAAGAUCUCCAUAUCUUUUGAGGAUGUCUUGCAUUUGGUUGAACUAUUCGAUUGAGGCCUCCACCAUGAACAGACUGUCAUCUGCAAAGAGUAAAUGGUGGAUGGCUGGUCCUGAAUUUUAUCUGUUUGAAUUUUAUUUUGCGUUUUGUUUAUGUUGUAGUUUUUUUUUUUGAGAUUGUAAUCUGUUUCUUAUUAUAUUCUUGAUUAUGUUUUGACUGAAUUUAUCAAGCUACUUCUAUUUGUAAUAUCUAUUGCGAGUAUUGUUCCUCAGAAUCCACGCAGUUCUAUUCUGAGAUUAGAAUUAUUCCAACAUCUUAUAUUACAUCCAUAAUAGAUGAACUCUCAAACUCUGAUUGCAAUCAUAAUAAGAUUGUGCACUAACCCCUACUUUUAACUGCAUUUAGAGGUAAGUCUUAAACAUCAGCAAUCUUAUCAGUCAGUUAAAAGUAAAGUUUGGCUCUAAUUGCAGCGCACCAAACCUUACUUUUUAAAGACGAUUGCCUCUGACUUCUAAAGCGGCCACAAGAUCCAAGGACUGGCUUGACUAUGCUGAGGUUGAGGUUCAAGUGAUGGGCCCUCUAGAAUUUCAACUAAAUAUUAAGGCGUGUAAAACAUGUGGAUGGAAAUUAAGGAAGUUAAAUUGAUUUAAACCUUUUUUGUUGGAUUACUUAUGGCUAAGCUGAUGGAUAUUGCAACUCUGAUUUCUUUACAAUCAUGUUGGAUUAUUUGAUGGCUAGGCUCAUGGAUAUUGCAACUCUGAUUCCGUCAAUCAC
RNAcentral lists this long non-coding RNA (4429 nucleotides) under Brassica napus (rape). RNAcentral describes it as "long non-coding RNA (BNAP_LNC022786)". Lineage: Eukaryota; Viridiplantae; Streptophyta; Magnoliopsida; Brassicales; Brassicaceae. The record is from RNAcentral.